UUUUCCAGUUGAAAAAAAUCCUAAGAGAGAAAAAUCUGGCAAAAGGUGAAAUGAAUAUCUGUAAUUUCUAGAAAUACACAAUUUUAUGGAAAUUUUUCUUAGCAUAAAACUACUAAGAUGGAUGAGUUUCAAAUCUAGCUCUACCAGUCAUUUGCUGUGUGACCCUGAGCUGGUUGCUUAACUUCUCAAGAUGGAAAUGAUAAUCGUCCAUACCUCCAGCAAUAUGAGACUUAAACGAGGUAAGGCCUUGCACUAGAACAUACCGUGCCAUUCAGUUUUGCGAGAUGAAAAUGUUCUAGAGAUCAGUUGCACUACAAUAGGAAUAUAUUUAAUAUUAGUCAACUGUACACUUAAGAAUGAUAAAUUUAUGCCAUGUAUUUUUAUCCCAAUCUAAGAAACUGAAUUGCAAAAUGUAUAUGCAUAGGUACGUACUAAGUGCUUAAUAAGCAUACCGUACCUAUCAUUAUGCCUCUUACUUUGUUUUCAGGUGGGCUCACAUCCUUCUCAUUCAUUCAUUCCAUGAGCAAGGAGCAAGUGUGGCAAGCCCGGCCCUGAGUUAGGCUAGGGAUGUCCAGAGAAGAACAUCACUGCAGACCUCAAGACUGACAGCCCUAGAAGGGGAGGUGGGGGGUAAGCAGUUGCCACUUAGGGUGGUGAGGGCCAUGGCAGAGAUGGGACCAACAGGAUGGGAGGAAACUCGUGUGUGCUUCUCCAGAGGAGAGCCCCGGGGUGGAGGGAGUGGAGAGAGAAGGAAACUGUUGCAGCAGAAGGUUUGCUGCAGUGUUUAGGGCUGAGCCAAGGCUUGGGGGACACAGUGGAGGCAGCAGUCAGGGAUGACACCCCCUAGAUUCUCUGACUUUGCCAUGAGGAUAGGGAUCUGCCUCUGCCACUGAGACAGGUUUAAAACAAAAAACAAAAAAAACAAAAAAACAACCCUAUGCUUUAAACAGAGCAGUGGAUGUACGAGUAGUAAAGGGCACAGCCAAGGAAGACCUGUCCCCAGCAACUGAAAACCACCAGCUUUCCUUUCAGGAAAGCCAGGGCCAUGGAUGAGCCGUGGACAUCUGUGGUCCUUGUGCGUGAGAAGGGGUGGUACUGAUGGCUCACUCAUCCCCAAGGCCCUGGCCUUCACACCAAGGGGGACCUGUUUGGGAUAGCAUUCCCAUCAACUUGGCAUUCACCAACCGGCUCAGCCCCGUGCACCUCCCUCUGACCCACUGCCACCCACAUGGCUGGAGAUAUGAGGGGGAGUGACAGGCCAUCCUCUCACUACCCAUAUGAACACCGGAGUUAAUCUGUAUCCGGAUUAUUAUCUCCCGAUGCAACAAAUUAUUUUGUGCAUUUGCUUUAUUGUAGACUCUUUGUUAUAAUAAAAUUAGUUCUAUUCCACAUUAUUGGUUCAUAAUUAGAAUUACAUGAAAAAAUAAAAAACCCAGAUACCAUCUCUCUAAGCCUUCUCUGGCUGAGCAAUUGAACUGACUGCACAAUUUCUUCUCUCUCUCUCUCCUCCAGUUUCAUUUUCAGGUUAAUUUCAAAGCCCUUAAAAUGUCUUUAAAGAAUAAGACCUAUUUCAACUGGAUUUUUCUAUAGCCCAUAGGUAGGGUGACAAAUUCGGCAUCCAAACUGGGACAAUGGUGUGAGGGAGAGUCAGGCUAUUAAUUAUUAAGCCAGGACAAUAGCAUAAGCUAGAAAGGCUGCAGGCAAAUAGCCACAGGUGGUCAUCCUAUUUUUAGGGGCAAGCUGACCCUCUCCCGCAGUCAUGGGUUAGUCCUGCUAGGCAAUGCUACUUUUCCU
This 1794-nucleotide long non-coding RNA is filed under the name Marmota monax (woodchuck). Lineage: Eukaryota; Metazoa; Chordata; Mammalia; Rodentia; Sciuridae. The record is from RNAcentral.